AUUUGUAUAGUUUAAUUAAAACAUUAUAUUUUCAUUAUAAAAAUAUUUUAUAUAAUUACAAAUA
RNAcentral lists this transfer RNA (64 nucleotides) under Psephenothrips eriobotryae. RNAcentral's name for it is "tRNA-Glu". Lineage: Eukaryota; Metazoa; Arthropoda; Insecta; Thysanoptera; Phlaeothripidae. The record is from RNAcentral.